Molecule: ribosomal RNA, 492 nt
Filed under: uncultured bacterium
Lineage: Bacteria
Description: partial 16S ribosomal RNA
Rfam family: Bacterial small subunit ribosomal RNA
Source: RNAcentral
AGUGAACGCUGGCGGUAGGCCUAACACAUGCAAGUCGAACGGCAGCACAGUAAGAGCUUGCUCUUACGGGUGGCGAGUGGCGGACGGGUGAGGAAUACAUCGGAAUCUACUUUUUCGUGGGGGAUAACGUAGGGAAACUUACGCUAAUACCGCAUACGACCUACGGGUGAAAGCAGGGGAUCUUCGGACCUUGCGCGAUUGAAUGAGCCGAUGUCGGGUUAGCUAGUUGGCGGGGUAAAGGCCCACCAAGGCGACGAUCCGUAGCUGGUCUGAGAGGAUGAUCAGCCACCCUGGAACUGAGACACGGUCCAGACUCCUACGGGAGGCAGCAGUGGGGAAUAUUGGACAAUGGGCGCAAGCCUGAUCCAGCCAUACCGCGUGGGUGAAGAAGGCCUUCGGGUUGUAAAGCCCUUUUGUUGGGAAAGAAAAGCAGCAGGUUAAUACCCCGCUGUUCUGACGGUACCCAAAGAAUAAGCACCGGCUAACUUCGUG